RNAcentral lists this ribosomal RNA (465 nucleotides) under uncultured bacterium. RNAcentral describes it as "partial 16S ribosomal RNA". It matches the Rfam family "Bacterial small subunit ribosomal RNA", at positions 28 to 507 of the family's 1533-position model. The record is from RNAcentral.
GACGAACGCUGGCGGCGUGCUUAACACAUGCAAGUCGAACGGUAACGCCCCUUCGGGGGUACACGAGUGGCGAACGGGUGAGUAACACGUGGGCAACCUGCCCUUGACUCUGGAAUAUCAGUUGGAAACAGCGGCUAAUACUGGAAAUUCAUCGUCUCCUUCCUGGGGGGUGGUGGAAAGCAUCGGCGGUCAGGGAUGGGCUCGCGCCCUAUCAGCUUGUUGGUGAGGUAAUGGCUCACCACGGCUUCGACGGGUAGCCGGCCUGAGAGGGGGACCGGACACACUAGGACGGAGCUACGGCCCAGACUCCUACGGGAGGCAGCAGUGGGGAAUAUUGCACAAUGGGCGCAAGCCAGAUGCAGCAACGCCGCGUGCGGGAUGACGGCCUUCGGGUUGGAAACCGCUUUCAGUAGGGACGAAGGGUGACUGACGGUACCUACAGAAGAAGGACCGGCUAACUACGUG